This 47-nucleotide non-coding RNA is filed under the name Trypanosoma brucei brucei. The record is from RNAcentral. Lineage: Eukaryota; Euglenozoa; Kinetoplastea; Trypanosomatida; Trypanosomatidae.
UUAUAUUUACUUAUCACUGUUACUAUUAGAUCUGUUCUGUGAUUUUG